CAAAUAGUAAAACACGAAGGUGGAUCGGUCAUGGUGUGGGGUGCAUGGCUGCCGGUGGCACUGGAAAUUUGAUAUUUAUUGAUGGAACACUUGAUAAAUAUCAAUAUUUUAAUAUUUUAAAAAAUAACCUUGAAGAAAUUGCCCGUAAAUUAGGAUUACUGAAAGAUUUCCACUUCCAACAAGAUAAUGAUCCUAAGCAUACUGCUAGAAUUGUGAAAGAAUGAAUCGUAUAUAACACACCACACGUGUUAAUUACUUCACCGCAAAGUCCAGACGUAAAUCCUAUUGAAAAUUUAUAGGCUGAAAUGGGAAAAAGAUGAAAUAAAUUUCAGAUAAUCUGAAAGCAAGUAUUGAAAGAUAAAAUUAUAAAAAUAUGGAACUCCGUUGAGUGUAGUUUUACAAAAUCAUUGGUUUACAGUAUGGGACGUCGAUUGAGACACACUAUUGCUGCUAAAGUUGGCCCAACAAAAUAUUAAUAUCAAAUAAUUGAAUAAUAUAUGUAGCGUUCAAAUACUUUUCUCAGUCACUUACAAUCUUUUCCAAAUUUUACUGAUAUAAUCUUAAGACCUCCAUCUUCCUACUGACAUCUGCUUGUCUAAGCAAAUUACUUUAAUGUACAUUAUUUCGGUCAUUCAAGUGUGCAUAUGCAAGCGUUCGAAUACUUUCGUGAGCCACUGUAUGUAUUUACGAAAAUGGACGAAAAUACGACGUACAAUGUGUUUAUUGAUAUAAUUAAUAAUAAAUAAUUAGAUAUAAUAAAACCAUAAUACAGAAGAUUAUUAAAAGCAAAUUUUGUAAACCUUUUAAAAAACAUCGAUCAGAUCGUCAUAGCAUCAGACGAUUAAUAUUGCAACGAUGAGAAACUCUCCAAAAAUUCAAUGAUUUACUUUCUCUUCUCCAAUCGCUCUAAAUAUAAUUUUGUGAAACAUUCUUUCGUGAACAUGAGAAACAAAAGACUAACGGAAGAUUAGGUUAAACCUGAGACAAGAUGAGCAACAAGAAUUGCAGAAAAUACGCAACACGGUCCAUGAUACACGAUUUAUACGAACAAGAAACAACAAACAACCAAGCGGAACGUUAACGCGAGUAUCAUCGUACGAAGUAACUGUAAGACGCGAGUACGUGAAAAGAAACGGUGAAAUUACUUCGAAUUUAGCGGUCAAACGAUUCGUCGACUGGUAUCAUGGACAAGGUGCUCCUUCCUCUUCGCUAUUCAACCUGUUCACGCGGGCUGUGCUCGCCCACCUUACCUUGCCACUAGCCUUGCUUAGUGUUGUUUACUCGCGUCGACUGUUCGCCACACCGGGCUUCGUUUCUCCUGCUCGAGAUCGAACGUACAAGCAACCGACCAACUCUCGCAAUUAUCCAGAUUUCGCUCAGAAGGACGAUCCUUCGUUUCGAGAUUAAUCGAACGACCAUUAGCAGACGAUCGCUUCUUGGAAGAGGCUAAAGGGAUGAACGGAUCGAGCGGACGAACGGAGAACUCGUCGAAACUUUCUCAAACUUUCGACAAUCGUCGAAAUUAUGCUAUUGAAACCUUUCGUUUGAUUUUAUUGGGUUACGCAAUAGUUCCAUGUUGGGGGUCAACGAUGCCGAUAGAACAGAAACACGAGACUCCUAUGCACAAGGUGGAGCUCACUCAGAAGGGAUACAUUCAGUUUCUACGAUGGGAGCUGCCAGUGCCGGAGUUGACGGAGUUCACCUUCUGCCUGUGGAUGCAAUCGAAUGAUCUCACUCACUCUCAUCCCAUAUUCUCCUACUCGAAAGACGAGCGAGAGCGACUGGUACGAUCGUGGAUAGCGCCACAUGGCAGGAGCAUUCACCUUGAGAUCGGAGGAAAACAGGUGCUCGCAAUGCCGACCGAUAUUCUAGAGAAUCGAUGGUACCAUUUCUGUCUCAGUUGGGAGAACCAGGCCGGGCUCUAUGGACUCUGGAUCAACGGCCAGCUCUGGGCUCAAGGUCAUUCUGAUCAGACGAUAGGACAGAGGAUCCCUAGUGGAGGAGACAUCGUGCUGGGCCAGGAGUACACGGACUUUGACAAAGGGCUGGAGGACGGUAUCGAGGGUUCUGUAUUGGGCUUCAACCUUCUUCUAGCUUCGGCUUUCGAUAACCCGCACACAGACUACCAGCUCGAAGCCUCCUACGAUUCGACUCGGGUGUCCACCUCGAGUUACGCCACGGUUCCGCUUUUUGCGAGGAUUCCAACGAAACUGAUGCAACGCGCCAUCGAUUAUGGAACGCGAACGAGAACGCCUUACACAUUCCUGCCGACUAAUUCUAAUAAACUUCGAGGACGUGGCUACGACAAGAACGCCGUGUCUCUGCCUCUGCUGACCGGCACAGCUAAAUCCAUCUCUUCUGGAACGACCGACCCAUGGCGCGAUGCUACGAGCAUAGAACUGUCCAGGUUGCAAGAUCAACCUCUAGGACUGCAAUUGAUAACAUUGUCGUACACACACUGUGAAAUUGGUAGAGGAAGUCCUUACAUCGGUGGUAAGCUGAUGUUGAUCUCGUGGACCAGAACAGCGGUUCGUAUUUUUGGUGGAGCUUUGUUGAAGAACGUUGCCAGCGAUUGUGGCAAUUUCUAAGAAUUUGCAGCAGCAGCUCUCUCACACUGUACGAUAGAAUCGAAAUUGCUGUAGACACAGCCAGUAACCACGUUUUCGAACGUAGAGAAAGCGUUUAAAUUUAAAGAGUGGGGCAUCCGACUGGAGUUGUAAGGUCGUCGUCGCCAAUAUGGCCAUACGCAUAUGUAUUAUAUGCGCGUGAAAGAUAGAACAUUGGUGCAAACGUAUUUACAUGUAAUGUCACAGUUACUCGUCGUAUCGAAGUUCCAACGUCUCUGUAUUUAUAUCGGUUUGGCGACUAAGUGAUUGCGGAUUUUGUCAAUACCGCCUAAUGACAAAAUCCAGUUGCCAACUAUUUCUGUAUUUCUUUGCCAUUUCCAUAUUUAUCGAAUGGUAUAAGAGUGUACGAUUUAAGUGUCGUGUCGCUGAAACGAAUCUGUGAACGUAUCAGGUUAUGCCAAAAGUUUCUUUCGUUUUAUAAGAAAGUAGCAGAUGCACAACAUUGUUUCUUUUAUAUUAUUUUAUUGAAUUAUGUUUGAUCCAUUUUAUUCUAUUAUUACAAAAUGGAUCAUACAUAAAAUAGUAUAAAAUAAAAAAUGUUGUGCAUCUAUUGUUUCACUCAUGAAACGAAAGAAACUUUUCGGACAAUCUAAUACAUGUUACAAGGUAUUUGUCAGAAGCUAUACCUUUGGGUAGCAAAGAUCAUGCUAUUUUAUAAACUAUAAUACGUACACAUGAUGAGAGAACAUCUAUACCAAUGUAUAGCACUAACUGUAUACGUAUGUUUAAGACUAGUAUUCACGCUGUUUAUUUAUUUUUCACUAACAAUGUACGUAUUAACAACGUAUGUUUGCAAUAAAUGUCUUGUACUUCUCUAUACAUUUUUAGAUUGCCUUCAUAUUUUGCUGUUACAAUCGCGAUAAUCGUUACACUGCUAGUGAAAUUUCAGAUUGUACAUAACACGUUUAUAAAACGUUCCGACGAUUUGAUGACAUUUAUGCGUUAUGCUGUUAACACUAGAACGACCACACCAGUGAAAUUGACUGGUUUUACAAUUUUAUUUUCAAAUUUCUACUUCGUGUUAUAUUCUUUUCCGCAAUGAUGUAAUGACUUUCGCGACGAUAACUAAAAGAAUAAUAUAAUGAAUUUUAUUUUAUCUUGUUAUUUCUAUACUUAAACUCCCCCCUCGACAUUUUUUUUUUUUUUUUUGAUAACUGUAUUAUCACGUAAACAAUUAUUGUAUACUCGAUACAGCGUCCUUAUGAUAUUCAACACUGAAUCAUCGAUCACGCACCCCCUUUUUUUUUUUUGUUUUUUGGUUAUAUUCUGCGCUCCUCGAUAUUAUUACUGUUAAUAAUAUUUUCAAUAAAAAUAAUAACUAAUUAUUGCACCUGGCCCAUAACCUGUUGCGAUCCUAUCUCUGAGUAUAGAAAUAACAACAUUUUGUUUUUUAUGUAUUCAAACUGAAAAUAAUUUUGCAUCAAGGCUACUUAUACCAAUACCAGUGAAAAUGACUGGUACUUGUCAAAGUGUAAAAGGGUGCUGCAAUCUGUUUAUUGAACCCCAAUUAACCAGUUUCCCCAUUUUCUACAACUUGCCAUACGUUUUUCAAAUUUUUCGAUAUGACGAUAUCAGUUAUCAGGAAAAUUCCGAAUCGAUCGCUGAAUCGCUAGAUGCUAACACUAGAAACACCACACCAGUCAAAAUGACUGGUUUAUGACUGGCCCCAGAUGGAUUAAUAAUACUAAAAAUGCACUAUAUAACAUGGAAUUCCUUCCGUAAGAGAGUAAUAAAUCAAUAAAUAUAAAAAUAUUGUAUUAUUAGAUAUUUUUUAAAGACCAGUCGUUUUCGCUGGUUUUGAUAGAAAUAGCUUCGUGUUAACUAUCGGUAGUGCUAGUAUUAACUUUGAAAUAGUUUCUAAACUGGGCAUUUUCAGAUUCAAAUUUGAAUCUUGGUAGGUUUUGUCUAGUUUGCGAGUGUUACAAAUCUUGAAAAAUCUUCGAUCGUGUCAAAUUCUUUGGGUCGUUUGCUUCCUGCUGAUCUUUCGAUAAGAUACAUCGUUUCCAUCCUGAAACUCUCGAGCUAAGAAUUUCGAAUAUCCCGCAAGACUAUCAAAACUCAAGAAACUUCAAAGGCUCAGGAACUGAGCAAAAUUUUCAAACGGAUAUCAUAAUCGUUGCGCAAGACAAAUUUUCAAAGUUAAGCUAUAAGAAUUGAUAUCUUUGAUCGAUACAAACGAUUGAAAUUUGACAAUAUAAGAAAGAUUUGUUACGAAAGUUGUAUAUUUUAUUAAGCAGAAAAUCCGACAUGAAAAUAUAUGAAACAGAGGAUAUUCUGUAUCUCAUAUAUUUUCAUAUCGUUUCUUUGAUUAAUAAAAUGUAUACGCAAGCUUCAUAAUUAAAUUGUUUCGUAUCGAUGAAUACUAAUUACAAAUAUGAAUAUUAAUACCGAUUAUCAGCAACGUUAACAACAAUCGACGAUAGCCGAACGUAACGAGAGUAAAUUUUACGAUAAGCAAACGAAUUGUUUUCGGGCAAUCGAUUAUGUUUAUCGGUAACCAAAAUGAAAUUCGGUUCGUCGAUAGCCCCCCCCCCCAAAAAAAAAAAAAAAAUGCUAAUCGUUCACAACUGUUAUUCGCGAUGGGAACAAUUAAAAAUUACUAUCUUCCUUCUCUUCAUCUUUGGAGAAAUUAGCUUUUACUCCGUGGCACGUUUCCAAAAAAUGCCGAAAAUGACUGUUAUCUCGAGUGUCUGCUCGCAGAGGCUUCAAGAUACGAAUCAGGUUGCAAGUGAUUGGAUUUUAUCGUCGUACACGUUGCACAGAAAUUCCAAAUAUCGCAGAUCGCAUCGCUAGCUAUCGGCUACGUCGAAUUCACACUGUUUCACUUUGCAAGAACACGGCUUUCAUGCUGGUUUCAUUAGCAAAUUAGGGAAGAGCGAAACAGUGAGACGAUGUAAAUUAAAAGACAAUUCGAUUAUCCUGUUCGUUGUAAAUCUCGCGCUCGGGAAAUCGUGUGGAACGCGGCAACACGUUCAAGUGCAUCGAACUGUCGCGAGAUCGCUUUGCGCCGCUAUUAUUCCUCUCGAGUUCAUUUCCCGACUUAAUUCACCGACGCGCAUCAUUUGCCUACAGAUGCAGCGAAAAUUGAGCCGCACUUGGCAAUCGAUUUCGAAGCGUGUCGAACGAUUUUGUUGCGCAACGCGAAUGCGUAAACACAAAGUAGGAAAUUAUGGCGGAGACCUUGUUCUCGUGAAAUGGUUAAACCGGCGGAGAGCCGUGCGAUCGGGAAACGCGACGAUUACGUUACAACAGAUCGUUCCGCGUAAGAUGCAAUCGGUUAAGCUGGUUCGUUUCUUUUCCAACGCAUUUUACUUGGAUAAUCGCGCGCCUCUUUUUAGCUACACAGUGCGAGUAAUAGACUUUUUCUUAUUGAAAUUAACAGCACGUUGUCAGCAAACGAACCUGCAGCGAUCUACUUUGUAUCUUUUAAAUGUCUGUCGCAGCUAAUGAGAAUUCUAACGUAAAUAUAACGUAAGCUGAAAACCAUGAACUCCGAUAAAUGAUGAUAAUAAUAAUAAUAAUAAUAAUAAUAAAGAUAUUAACACUGACUGCCACGCUGAAAUCACAU
RNA transcript from Bombus huntii, 6195 nucleotides. RefSeq lists it as uncharacterized. The record is from RefSeq and is a predicted model, not a curated record. NCBI's taxonomy places the organism in Eukaryota, Metazoa, Arthropoda, Insecta, Hymenoptera, Apidae. The transcript has 5 exons.